CAACGAUUAAAACCCUACGUGAUCUGAGUUCAGACCGGAGCAAUCCAGGUCAGUUUCUAUCUAUAAAGAGCUUUCUCUAGUACGAAAGGACCGAAAAAGCACGGCCCCUGUAAUAUAUAUGCCUUAGCUAACAACUUAUGACUAAAACUCAAUAAAAACUUAGCCUAACACCCCUCUCAAAACAAGAGCA
This 190-nucleotide ribosomal RNA is filed under the name Cochranella resplendens (resplendent cochran frog). RNAcentral's name for it is "partial 16S ribosomal RNA". Lineage: Eukaryota; Metazoa; Chordata; Amphibia; Anura; Centrolenidae. The record is from RNAcentral.